CAGUAGCCACGGUAAUACGAAGGGUGCAAGCGUUACUCGGAAUUACUGGGCGUAAAGCGUGCGUAGGUGGUGGUUUAAGUCCGUUGUGAAAGCCCUGGGCUCAACCUGGGAAUUGCAGUGGAUACUGGAUCACUAGAGUGUGGUAGAGGAUAGUGGAAUUUCCGGUGUAGCAGUGAAAUGCGUAGAGAUCGGAAGGAACAUCUGUGGCGAAGGCGACUAUCUGGGCCAACACUGACACUGAGGCACGAGAGCGUGGGUAGCAAACAGGAUUAGAUACCCCAGUAGUCCCUGUCUCUUAUAC
This 301-nucleotide ribosomal RNA is filed under the name uncultured bacterium. RNAcentral's name for it is "partial 16S ribosomal RNA". It matches the Rfam family "Bacterial small subunit ribosomal RNA", at positions 509 to 807 of the family's 1533-position model. The record is from RNAcentral.